This 456-nucleotide ribosomal RNA is filed under the name uncultured bacterium. RNAcentral describes it as "bacterial SSU rRNA". It matches the Rfam family "Bacterial small subunit ribosomal RNA", at positions 340 to 784 of the family's 1533-position model. The record is from RNAcentral.
UACGGGAGGCAGUAGGGGGGAAUAUUGCACAAUGGGCGAAAGCCUGAUGCAGCUAUGCCGCGUGUAUGAAGAAGGCCUUAGGGUUGUAAAGUACUUUCAUCGGGAGGAAAAAACAAACUAAUAAUUUUAUUUCUUGACGUUACCCGAAAAAGAAGCACCGGCUAACUCCGUGCCAGCAGCCGCGGUAAUACGGAGGGUGCUAGCGUUAAUCAGAAUUACUGGGCGUAAAGAGCACGUAGGUGGUUUUUUUAAAGUCAGAUGUGAAAUCCCUGGGCUUAACCUAGGAACUGCAUUUUGAAACUGAAAUACUAGAGUAUCGUAGAGGGAGGUAGAAUUCUAGGUGUAGCGGUGAAAUGCGUAGAUAUCUGGAGGAAUACCUGUGGCGAAAGCGGCCUCCUAAACCGAAUACUGACACUGAGGGUGCGAAAAGCGUGGGGAGCAAACAGGGAUUAGAUA